This 676-nucleotide ribosomal RNA is filed under the name Ganoderma lucidum. Its description in RNAcentral is "partial small subunit ribosomal RNA". It matches the Rfam family "Bacterial small subunit ribosomal RNA", at positions 36 to 778 of the family's 1533-position model. The record is from RNAcentral. Lineage: Eukaryota; Fungi; Basidiomycota; Agaricomycetes; Polyporales; Polyporaceae.
UUUUUCAGUAGUUUAAGACAUGCAAAUCGUUGUUUCCAAAGUCCUUAAUGAAUUAAUAUUUUUAAUAUUAAUGGGAUCAGGGGAUAAGGUGUAGAGGUGAGUAUGUUAAAUAAGAUACCCUAUAGUCUUCUUAGCUAGGAGAUAUAAAGUAAAGGAAAAUUUCUGCUAUAGGAUUCUAUUUAAUUUGAUUAGGUAGUUGAUAGGGUAACGGCCUACCAAGCCAACGAUCAAAAGUCAAGUUUGAAAGAACCUCUGGCCACAUUGGGGAUGAAAUCUCCCAAGUAGUAAUUACACUACCAGCAGUCGAGAAUAUUAGUCAAUGCUCGUAAGAGUGAACUAGCUAACUGAAAUCAUAGAAUUUCUUCAAAUUCAUGAUGUCGUAAGGGAAAAUAAUGAUAAUACCUUACUAUGAGUGUCGUCCAAAUCUGGUGCCAGAAGACUCGGUAAGACCAGAGACGCAAACGUUAAUCAUCAUAAACAGGCGUAAAGGGUUUGUAGGCAGCUUUUAUAAGAUAAUAAAAAUCUAAAUUGAAAGCUAGAAUCAAAAAGAGGUUAUAGUGUAUAACGCCUAGAGGAGGGCUGAUAUCCAUAGAUCCUAGGCAGAAUACUCAGGGCGAAGGCCACUCUCCACUAAUGAUUGACGCUGAGAAACGAAGGUUAGGGUAGGAAAUAGGAU